GAGGAAAGAAGGAAGGAAGAGAGGGAGGGAGGAAGGACAAAAGAUAAAUCUUUCAUUUGUUAUUUUUCUUUCUGACCCUAGGAAAAUAAUUCAUCUCCUUCCAAACUUCAGUCUCCUCACCUAUAAAAUUGCCUCUUUCAGAGGGUUAUUUGAGGAUCAACUGAGGCACUGCACAAGAAAGAUCUUUUAAAGUAAAAGUCCACCAUGAAUUUGGAAACUGUUCUACUGUACACUGCUGCCAAGAUGCUCUGCCUCACCACAGGCCUAGAGGCAAUAGAGCCAAGUGAACCUGUACUGAAACUUCUGAAGUUGUGAAUAGAAUAAACCUUUCCUUCUUGAAGUU
Molecule: long non-coding RNA, 343 nt
Organism: Ictidomys tridecemlineatus (thirteen-lined ground squirrel)
Lineage: Eukaryota; Metazoa; Chordata; Mammalia; Rodentia; Sciuridae
Source: RefSeq, a predicted model, not a curated record